Molecule: ribosomal RNA, 471 nt
Filed under: uncultured Methanosaeta sp.
Lineage: Archaea; Methanobacteriati; Methanobacteriota; Methanomicrobia; Methanotrichales; Methanotrichaceae
Description: bacterial SSU rRNA
Rfam family: Archaeal small subunit ribosomal RNA
Source: RNAcentral
GACGGGGAGCACCACAACGGGUGGAGUCUUGUCGGUUUAAUUGAUUCAACGCCGGAAUCUUACCGGGACCGACAGCAAUAUGAAGGCCAGGCUGAAGACUUUGCCGGAUUAGCUGAGAGGUGGUGCAUGGCCGUCGUUAGUUCGUACUGUGAAGCAUCCUGUUAAGUCAGGCAACGAGCGAGACCCACGCCCACAGUUGCCAGCGUACUCUCCGGAGUGACGGGUACACUGUGGGGACCGCCGCUGCUAAAGCGGAGGAAGGAAUGGGCAACGGUAGGUCAGUAUGCCCCGAAUAUCCCGGGCUACACGCGAGCUACAAUGGUUGGUACAAUGGGUAUCUACCCCGAAAGGGGACGGAAAUCUCCUAAAACCAAUCUUAGUUCGGAUUGAGGGCCGCAACUCGCCCUCAUGAAGCUGGAAUCCGUAGUAAUCGCGUUUCAACAGAACGCGGUGAAUACGUCCCUGCUCCUU